GCUGGGCGUUGUGGCGGGCGCCUGUAGUCCCAGCUACUCAGGAGGCUGAGGCAGGAGAAUGGCUUGAACCCGGGAGGUGGAGCUUGCAGUGAGCUGAGAUUCAGCCACUGCACUCCAGCCUGGGUGACAGAGCGAGAUUCCGUCUCAA
Unclassified non-coding RNA from Macaca fascicularis (crab-eating macaque), 148 nucleotides. It matches the Rfam family "Metazoan signal recognition particle RNA". From Rfam's summary of the family: The signal recognition particle (SRP) is a universally conserved ribonucleoprotein. It is involved in the co-translational targeting of proteins to membranes. The record is from Ensembl. Lineage: Eukaryota; Metazoa; Chordata; Mammalia; Primates; Cercopithecidae.